Molecule: ribosomal RNA, 254 nt
Filed under: uncultured bacterium
Lineage: Bacteria
Description: partial 16S ribosomal RNA
Rfam family: Bacterial small subunit ribosomal RNA
Source: RNAcentral
UACGUAGGCAGCAAGCGUUGUUCGGAAUUACUGGGCGUAAAGAGUGUGUAGGCGGUGUGUCGCGUCGGCCGUGAAAACCUGCAGCUUAACUGUGGGCUUGCGGUCGAUACGGGCAUCACUGGAGUUCGGCAGGGGAGACUGGAAUUCCUGGUGUAGCGGUGAAAUGCGCAGAUAUCAGGAGGAACACCGGUGGCGAAGGCGGGUCUCUGGGCCGAUACUGACGCUGAGGAGCGAAAGCGUGGGGAGCGAACAGG